RNAcentral lists this ribosomal RNA (742 nucleotides) under uncultured bacterium. Its description in RNAcentral is "bacterial SSU rRNA". It matches the Rfam family "Bacterial small subunit ribosomal RNA", at positions 8 to 796 of the family's 1533-position model. The record is from RNAcentral.
AGAGUUUGAUCCUGGCUCAGAACGAACGCUGGCGGCAGGCCUAACACAUGCAAGUCGAACGCAUCCUUCGGGGUGAGUGGCAGACGGGUGAGUAACACGUGGGAACGUGCCUUUCGGUUCGGGAUAACCCAGGGAAACUUGGGCUAAUACCGGAUACGCCCUUUGGGGGAAAGAUUGAUUGCCGAAAGAUCGGCCCGCGUCUGAUUAGCUAGUUGGUGAGGUAACGGCUCACCAAGGCGACGAUCAGUAGCUGGUCUGAGAGGAUGAUCAGCCACACUGGGACUGAGACACGGCCCAGACUCCUACGGGAGGCAGCAGUGGGGAAUAUUGGACAAUGGGCGCAAGCCUGAUCCAGCCAUGCCGCGUGAGUGAUGAAGGCCCUAGGGUUGUAAAGCUCUUUCGGCGGGGACGAUAAUGACGGUACCCGCAGAAGAAGCCCCGGCUAACUUCGUGCCAGCAGCCGCGGUAAUACGAAGGGGGCUAGCGUUGUUCGGAAUCACUGGGCGUAAAGGGCGCGUAGGCGGCCAUUCAAGUCGGGGGUGAAAGCCUGUGGCUCAACCACAGAAUUGCCUUCGAUACUGUUUGGCUUGAGACCGGAAGAGGUCAGUGGAACUGCGAGUGUAGAGGUGAAAUUCGUAGAUAUUCGCAAGAACACCAGUGGCGAAGGCGGCUGACUGGUCCGGUUCUGACGCUGAGGCGCGAAAGCGUGGGGAGCAAACAGGAUUAGAUACCCUAGUAGUCC